UGAAAUGUAGCUUGGGGUAGAGUGUUCGCUUUGCAUGUGAAAGGCCCUGGCUUCGAUCCCCAGCUCCUCCA
Molecule: non-coding RNA, 71 nt
Organism: Nephila pilipes (giant wood spider)
Lineage: Eukaryota; Metazoa; Arthropoda; Arachnida; Araneae; Nephilidae
Source: the annotation of a GenBank genome assembly